GAUGAACGCUGGCUACAGGCUUAACACAUGCAGGUCGAGGGGAAACGACGGGGAAGCUUGCUUCCCCGGGCGUCGACCGGCGCACGGGUGAGUAACGCGUAUCCAACCUGCCUCUGACUGAGGGAUAACCCGUCGAAAGUCGGCCUAAUACCUCAUGGCAUCGUCUGCGGGCAUCCAACGACGAUUAAAGAUUUCAUCGGUCAGAGAUGGGGAUGCGUCUGAUUAGCUUGUUGGCGGGGUAACGGCCCACCAAGGCGACGAUCAGUAGGGGUUCUGAGAGGAAGGUCCCCCACAUUGGAACUGAGACACGGUCCAAACUCCUACGGGAGGCAGCAGUGAGGAAUAUUGGUCAAUGGGCGAGAGCCUGAACCAGCCAAGUAGCGUGCAGGAUGACGGCCCUAUGGGUUGUAAACUGCUUUUAUGCGGGGAUAAAGUGAGGGACGUGUCCUUCAUUGCAGGUACCGCAUGAAUAAGGACCGGCUAAUUCCGUG
RNAcentral lists this ribosomal RNA (491 nucleotides) under uncultured bacterium. Its description in RNAcentral is "partial 16S ribosomal RNA". It matches the Rfam family "Bacterial small subunit ribosomal RNA", at positions 28 to 507 of the family's 1533-position model. The record is from RNAcentral.